AGCUGCAGCGUAACAGGUCAUGCAGCUUUUAUCUUAGUCUCAGGGUCGGAGGCCUAUCUCAUCAAAGAAACAUGGUGUCUUUCAGUGUUCCCUAGGGGACACUCAAUCUGGAUCUAUUGACCCCUUUUCAGUUGGUAAACAUUGUGACGUAUUUGUGUGGGCGGGGCAUAGCUGGAGGCAGAAAGAUUCCCCUGAAUACUUCAACAACGGUAGCUAGCAAAUGUUGUUAGCUUUUUUUUUUUUUCAACAAUGGAUGGAGAAAAUCCGAUUUUAUCUGAAUGUGUAAGGUCACUCACUGUCCGGGACCGCGAUAAUUAUUUUAAAAAGUUAACUUUAACGGACGGAACCAGAUUGGUCGACCCCUACACACUCACUCUGGAUGGACGAACUGACAGGAUUACCUCCGGUAGAGUGGCCUGACAUCUACACCUACCUGAUAGAGAAACCGAGCGUGUAUAGUAAAGACAAACUGAGGGCGUAUAAAUCCUUAGAUGCCUAUAACUACGUACUGAAUGGUCACGUACAAGACUUCAAAUACAAAGAUUUAACAGAUGAGUUUUGUGUCGUACGAUCCGAAGUUCUGCCUAGCCAGCGCCAAGGCCAGAAGACGACCAUGUACCAGGCUUGGGUCAUUGUAAACAGAAGAAACAACUACGUCUUGACCGCGAACUGCACUUGCAUGGCUGGAACUCACAGAUGAAGACAUCCAGGAACUGUAUUCGAUUGCCCCUGACGCUGCUGUUCUUACCAGCAUAGAAAACAGUGACACUGACACAGCGUCUGAGUCUGAGCUAGAGCAUCCUCCAGAGUUGCCAGAGCCGCUCACAGCCUUGUACGACCCUACGCUCAGACAGCACACACAUGGGGACAUCAGAGAGAAAUGUGAGGAAGCCUAUCUCAACAUGAGAAGGAACAUCCACCCAGAUCAGUGUGAGACUUGAGACUAUCACAAAACUGCAGGCAAAGUCCCAAGACUGGCUCACUCAUAGGGCAGGCAGGAUUACCAGCACAACAUUUUAUACUGUAUGUAAAGGUGACCAUCUGCACAAAACCACCCUGGACAAAAUCAUGCGCUACAAUGACACCAACAUACAGGUUCCAGCAGCUGUAUGGGGAAGAGACAAAGAGGAAAUUGCUAGGGAGCGUUACACCAAAGAGCUCAACAAAACCCAUCAAAAUGUAACGGUUAGUCCAUGUGGUUUUGUGAUUCGACCUGAUGAACCGCACCUAGGCGCAUCUCCAGAUGGGAAAGUUGUGUGUUCCUGCUGUGGGGAAGGGGUCUUGGAAAUCAAAUGCCCAUAUAAAUACAGGGAAGGCCUACAGGGUGUGACAGUCACUAAGGAUUUCUGCCUUGACAAAACAUUCCAACUAAAGAAGACACACCAGUACUACCACCAGGUUCAACUGCACAUGUUUGCCUGCAAUGUCCAGUACUGUGAUUUUGUGGUGUGGACAACUCAGGAGCUGGUUGUAAAUCGCAUCUCAAGAGAUGAAGAGCUCUUGCAGAAGGAUUUACCUAAAGCGAAGCAAUGUUUUGUAUCUUUCAUUCUGCCAGAACUUCUAACCCGCAGCCAAGAUCCUGCCCUUCAACCACCAGUGUUUUGUAACACCUGUGAAAAGCCAGAGUUUGGUAAAAUGAUUGAGUGUAGCAUGUGCAAAAACUUCUUUCAUUAUAGUUGUGCACAAGUUAAGAGGAGGCUACAGAACUGGCACUGCAGUUGCUGCAGAGAAAUACACCUGACUCACCUGUGUCUAUCUUCACGGUUAGCCAUGAAGAGAUAUAUGCUUCUAUUUCAGCAGGGAAUAAGUACUAUUUUACAGCUACAUGUUAGUGAACUGGGCUACAAUACAAAAAUAGUUAAACCUUCAAUGUGGUGGAUAAGGUAUUGGGUAUGGAAAUGUAUGUAUGUAAUGGCAUAAGAGAUAUUUUAAAGUAUGAUUCCUGUAAAUUAAGAAUGAGAUAACAGUACAAUGUAGUAUUAAGAUGUAAAUAUUUUUUAGAAAUAAAUUCUGAACACUGCAAAUUAA
Molecule: long non-coding RNA, 2028 nt
Organism: Micropterus salmoides (largemouth bass)
Lineage: Eukaryota; Metazoa; Chordata; Actinopteri; Centrarchiformes; Centrarchidae
Exons: 2
Source: RefSeq, a predicted model, not a curated record